UUUUGGGGAGGAAUGGUAUAGCAAUAGCUGAUUGCACCAACAAACAGUUGAUGCAAAAUUGAUUAUAUCAAAUAAAAUUCUAGGUAAAUUUUUGAUAAUGACAUUGCUUACCUAAGUCUUGACCAAAUUACGUGCCAGCAGUCGCGGUAAUACGUAAAAGACUAGUGUUAUUCAUCUUUAAUUGGUUUAAAGGGUACCUAGACAGCGAAUAAAGCCAUUGUAGGGACUAAUUCGCUAGAGUUACUUAUGAGGGGGUAUUAAAGUACUGCAGGUGUAGAGAUGAAAUUUUGUUAUACCUCUUUUCGUAUGAGAAACUAUGGCACAGGUAUAGGUGAAAGCAUCCCCUUAUGUGAUAACUGACGUUGAGGGACGAAGGCUUUGUGUCGCGAACAGGAUUAGAUACCCCAGUAGUCAAAGCAGAAAAUGAUGAAUGUCAUAGAUUAGAUAUACAAUUUAUUCUAUAAAUGAAAGUGUAAGCAUUCCACCUCAAGAGUAAUUUGGCAACAUUGGAACUGAAAUCAUUAGACCGUUUCUGAAACCAGUAGUGAAGUAUGUUGUUUAAUUUGAUGAUACGCAAAAAACCUUACCACAAUUUGAAUAUUUAUAUAUAUCUUUUAUUGAUUUUUACUAACAUAUAUGUAGACAAUUAAAAUCAUGCUUAAAUCUCGUUUGUGAGACUGAGCAUGAAAAAAGAUAAUAUAUUUACAAGCGUUGCACGGCUGUCUUCAGUUAAUGUCGUGAGAUUUUGGUUAGUUCCAUUAAAUUAACGUAAACCCUUACUUUAUUUUUAUAUAAAGUAGUUCUCCGCUAUAUUGGAUAUGAUAACAGGGACUAAGACAAGUCAUCAUGGGCCUGAAUAUUGUGGGGCUAUAGACGGUGGCCACCAUA
RNAcentral lists this ribosomal RNA (888 nucleotides) under Cladonia amaurocraea. RNAcentral's name for it is "SSU rRNA". It matches the Rfam family "Bacterial small subunit ribosomal RNA", at positions 349 to 1241 of the family's 1533-position model. Lineage: Eukaryota; Fungi; Ascomycota; Lecanoromycetes; Lecanorales; Cladoniaceae. The record is from RNAcentral.